Oncorhynchus masou masou (cherry salmon) is the source of this 2169-nucleotide long non-coding RNA. RefSeq lists it as uncharacterized. The record is from RefSeq and is a predicted model, not a curated record. The transcript has 2 exons. NCBI's taxonomy places the organism in Eukaryota, Metazoa, Chordata, Actinopteri, Salmoniformes, Salmonidae.
AGUGCGUACAUUUUCAUAUGGGAAUCGACCCCACAACGCUCUACCAACUGAGCCACACUGAACCUUCCUACUGUAUACUGGUAGGAAUUUGAACCAGUUUGUUACAACAGGAAAAUAAUUGUGCAGCAACAGGAAAUGUGUAUUAUAAUGAAUGGUAAGAGGCUGCGCUCUUUGGUCUUUACUAAAAAUCAUAGUGCAUAAAUAAAACACAAAGACGCAAAAAUUUGUGUUCUCAGGCCGUCCUCAGUGUGGAUGUCAGCGCACACACUCCUGUCUUCUACAGAUCAUUUCAUGUCACAUGGCCAAGAAAGAAAACAUCAAAGCAUAACAGAAGGUACAGUGAUCACCAACCUGUCCUCCAAGCCUUGCUUGUCAAUCACCAAAUAUACUUUAUGGCCAAAAGUAUGUGAACACCUGCUUGUUGAACAACAUCAUUAUAAAAUCAUGGGCUUUAAUAUGGAGUUGGUCCCCUCUUUGCUGCUAUAACAGCCUCCAGUCUUCUGGGAUGGCUUUCUACUAGAUGUUGGAACAUUGCUUCCAUUCAGCCACAAGAACAUUAGUGAUGUCUGGUGCUGAUGUUGGGCGAUUUAGGCCUGGCAUGCAAUCGGCGUUCCAAUUCAUCCCCAAGGUAUUCGAUGGGGUUGAGGUCAGGGCUCUGUGCAGGCCCGUCAAGUUCUUCCAUACAGAUCUCGACAAACCAUUUCUGUAUGGGCCUCGCUUUGUGCUCGGGGGCAUUGGCAUGCUGAAACAGGAAAGGGCCUUCCCCAAGCUGUUGCCACAAAGUUAGAAGCACAAAAUGUCAACACACACACACCUGACUUCUACAGUGUGCUGAAUGUCAUUGUAUGCUGCAGCGUUAAGGUUUCCCUUCCAUGGAACUAAGGGGCCAAACCAUGAAAAACAGCCGCAGACCAUUAUUCCUCCUCCACCAAACUUUACAGUUGGCACUAUGCAGGUAGUGUUCUGGCAUCCGCCAAACCCAGAUUCGUCCGUCGGACUGCCAGAUGGUGAAGCGUGAUUGAUUCUUCACUCCAGAGAACAAGUUUCCACUGCUCCAGAGUCCAAUGGCGGCGAGCUUUACACCACUCCAGCCGAUGUUUGGCAUUGAGCAUGGUGAUCUUAGGCUUGUGUGCGGCUGCUCGGCCAUGGAAACCCAUUUCAUGAAGCUUCCCGAUGAACAGUUCUUAUGCUGAUGUUGCUUCCAGAGGCGGUUUGGAACUCGGUAGUGAGGGUUGUAACCAAGGACAGAGGCGGUUUGGAACUCGGUAGUGAGUGUUGUAACCGAGGACAGAUGCGGUUUGGAACUCGGUAGUGAGGGUUGUAACCGAGGGCAGAGGCGGUUUGGAACUCCGUAGUGAGUGUUGCAACCGAGGACAGAGGCGGUUUGGAACUCGGUAGUGAGUGUUGCAACCGAGGACAGGUUAUUUUUUACACGCUACACACUUCAGCACUCUGCGGUCUCUGUUCUGUGAGCUUGUGUGGCCUACCAUUUUGUUUCUGAACCGUUGUUUCUCCUAGACAUUUCCACUUCACAAUAAUAGCACGUACAGUGGACUGGACAGCUCUAGCAGGGCAGACAUUUGAUGAACUGACUUGUUGGAAGGUGGCAUCGUACAGUAUGAUGGUGCCAUGUUGAAAGUCAGUACAGGCCAUUCUCCUGCCAUUGUUUGUCUAUGGAGAUUGCUUGACUGUGCUCAAUGUUAUACACAUGUCAGCAACGGGUGUGGCUGAAAUGGAUGGAUUAUCCAGAUCCACGGAAGGGGUGUCCACAUACUUUUGUCCACAUACAUAUUGUGUAUUUCUGUAUAAAAUAAAUAAAUGAUAAAGCCUUUCCUUCCUAUUUCGUUUUGUUGUUGCCGGUAGCUGAUUUAGCAGAAGGUAAAGUGUUUCCGUGUUGAACCAUUUCAUGUGUCUGAAGGUAGAGCUCCGCCUACCCAGAGAGCAAAUCAGAGGUCAGAUCACUGUGACAGCAGUUUCCUCGCACCAAUAGAAAGAAGCCUCGAACACACAGCAAAGUUGAUUUUUAUUUUUUUAUAUUUGAUUAGAGAGAGACUCAAUACAUACAGCAAAGAGCUAUUGUUAAAUACAUUUUGAAUGAAGUUGUUUUUCAGCACUUUGUCAACACUUUGUUCAACAAUUUUAUGAGCCAUAAAAUGCUUGUUUCGAUAA